GAUGAACGCUGGCGGCGUGCCUAAUACAUGCAAGUCGAGCGAACAGAUGAGGAGCUUGCUCCUCUGACGUUAGCGGCGGACGGGUGAGUAACACGUGGAUAACCUACCUAUAAGACUGGGAUAACUUCGGGAAACCGGAGCUAAUACCGGAUAAUAUAUUGAACCGCAUGGUUCAAUAGUGAAAGACGGUUUUGCUGUCACUUAUAGAUGGAUCCGCGCCGCAUUAGCUAGUUGGUAAGGUAACGGCUUACCAAGGCAACGAUGCGUAGCCGACCUGAGAGGGUGAUCGGACACACUGGAACUGAGACACGGACCAGACUCCUACGGGAGGCAGCAGUAGGGAAUGUUCCGCAAUGGGCGAAAGCAUGACGGAGCAACGCCGAGUGAGUGAUGAAGGUCUUCGGAGCGUAAAACUCUGUUAUUAGGGAAGAACAAAUGUGUAAGUAAAUAUGCACGUAUUGACGGUACCUAAUAAGAAAGCCACGGCUAACUACGUG
Molecule: ribosomal RNA, 497 nt
Filed under: uncultured bacterium
Lineage: Bacteria
Description: partial 16S ribosomal RNA
Rfam family: Bacterial small subunit ribosomal RNA
Source: RNAcentral